RNAcentral lists this ribosomal RNA (411 nucleotides) under Salmonella enterica. RNAcentral's name for it is "bacterial SSU rRNA". It matches the Rfam family "Bacterial small subunit ribosomal RNA", at positions 692 to 1102 of the family's 1533-position model. RNAcentral also lists the same sequence under 1 other name. Lineage: Bacteria; Pseudomonadati; Pseudomonadota; Gammaproteobacteria; Enterobacterales; Enterobacteriaceae. The record is from RNAcentral.
AGAGAUCUGGAGGAAUACCGGUGGCGAAGGCGGCCCCCUGGACAAAGACUGACGCUCAGGUGCGAAAGCGUGGGGAGCAAACAGGAUUAGAUACCCUGGUAGUCCACGCCGUAAACGAUGUCUACUUGGAGGUUGUGCCCUUGAGGCGUGGCUUCCGGAGCUAACGCGUUAAGUAGACCGCCUGGGGAGUACGGCCGCAAGGUUAAAACUCAAAUGAAUUGACGGGGGCCCGCACAAGCGGUGGAGCAUGUGGUUUAAUUCGAUGCAACGCGAAGAACCUUACCUGGUCUUGACAUCCACAGAAGAAUCCAGAGAUGGAUUUGUGCCUUCGGGAACUGUGAGACAGGUGCUGCAUGGCUGUCGUCAGCUCGUGUUGUGAAAUGUUGGGUUAAGUCCCGCAACGAGCGCAAC